Molecule: long non-coding RNA, 1475 nt
Organism: Drosophila yakuba
Lineage: Eukaryota; Metazoa; Arthropoda; Insecta; Diptera; Drosophilidae
Exons: 2
Source: RefSeq, a predicted model, not a curated record
AAUUGCGCGCCAAAAUGUGUUUCUUUUUGUUCAGCUUAGUUCGUUAUUUCAAUUUUCGGUUAGUCGAAAAACAGAAAAAAAAACAAAAAAAAAUGAGUGCCACAGCCGAACGAGCACUUGAAAAACAUUACAAAAUAAUGCAAAGCACACGGAGCGGAGGAAGAGCAAAAUGCUCUCGGUGCUGCCGAGUAGAAGAGGGAAAUCGCUUGAGGUGGAUUUGUUAUAGUAAACUAGUUACUUUGAAAAUUAAAGCGCCAAACAUUUUGACGAGCUGGCUUCGUAUCUGUAUCUGCCGUCGUGUUGAGCGGCAAAUGAGCGAAGAUGAGUGCCAAACAUCCAAACAAAUGAGACGAGGGAGUACCGAGCACCGCGCUCCUGCGGCUGCAGGCCAUAAACAUUUGUUGCCGCUCGUGUAAUAGCAGAAACACUUAUUUGUAAUGGAAUUAGUCAUGCAGCAGGCAGCAGGCAGCGGGCAGCGACGUCGACGGGAGCGUCCAAUAGCCAAGUGAGCGGAGGCAGCUGCUCCACGCAUCUUCAUCGCGGAUCGCAGGCUUCAGUCGCGCGGCAGCUUCAGCGGCGGCCGCCUCGAAAGGCGAAGCAGAAACAAAAGACUCAGGCAACGAACUUGCUGCAGGCAUUGCUGCUGCAAAUUGUUUUCCCUUAGUGCGUGGGAGUUUUCGCUGGGUUUAGUUCGGUUUUGUUUGGUUUUGUUUUUCGGCACAACUAAUGAGCUGGAUUAUGCCUCAGACUUCACAAAUGUGUCCGUUUGGAUUGGCGUUGACAUGGAUUCAAGUCGGAUAAGCUGCAAUUGAGAUCACAUUAAAAAAUCAUUUAAUUUCCUGCAUCGGCUAAUUUACAUUGAACGUGCCAGACAGAGAGGCCAUCUAGACGAAGUUGGACUUGGAGUUGAACACACACGGAGAUGGAAAGGGAGAGGGUAGCUAAUGGCACCCAGCCAGGUGAUGAUGCGCCAAGUCGAAGACACUGACGAUUUGUAAUUGCUGAUGGCUGCUCUAGAGCUUCGAGAGGGGCGGACCUUGAAAUACAUAUGUAUCCGUAUCUGUAUCUGUAUCUGUAUCUGUAUCUGCAGAUCGGAAUCUAUGUUUGCUUUGUAACCUAGAAUGCGGACGAGUGGAGCGACGCCAACGUGUAAUUUAAAUUAAACUACGAUAAUUUCUGAUGCAAUGCCCCCAACGACGGACAGAAUCAAUUAAUGCUUCUUUUGAUGUAAAUUGCGCCUCACUUUGAAUAUGCCGUGCCACUCUAGAUGAUGAUAUUUCGAGAGCGAUUUUGGAUCUUUGUGAUCACUGGCUCUGUGGCUCCGAGUUCUUCGCACACAUCGACUGCAUUUUUGGCCCGACGCGAAGGUCGCUGCCUUUUGCCAGAAUCCGGAGUAAAAGUCGAUUGACUCACACACAAAAUUGCCAAACUUUGACAUUUCAAACUGUUUGAACAUUAAAGUGAACUGAAACGGA